GCGGAUGUAGCUCAGUUGGCUAGAGCGUCUGCUUGCCAUGCAGAAGGUCGUGGGUUCGAGCCCCAUCAUCCGCU
Molecule: transfer RNA, 74 nt
Filed under: Actinomycetes bacterium
Lineage: Bacteria; Bacillati; Actinomycetota; Actinomycetes
Also listed under: 2 other names
Description: tRNA-Gly
Rfam family: tRNA
About the family: Transfer RNA (tRNA) molecules are approximately 80 nucleotides in length.
Source: RNAcentral